Molecule: ribosomal RNA, 378 nt
Filed under: uncultured bacterium
Lineage: Bacteria
Description: bacterial SSU rRNA
Rfam family: Bacterial small subunit ribosomal RNA
Source: RNAcentral
AUACGGAGGGGGCGAGCGUUGUCCGAAUUUAUUGGGCGUAAAGCGCGUGUAGGCGGAUUUUUAAGCCUGAGGUGAAAGGUUGGGGCUCAACCCCAUACAGUGCCUUGGGGACUGGGAGUCUGGAGGCAGGCAGAGGAGUGUGGAAUUCCUGGUGUAGCGGUGGAAUGCGUAGAUAUCAGGAAGAACACCCAUGGCGAAGGCAGCACUCUGGGCCUGUACUGACGCUGAGACGCGAAAGCGCGGGGAGCGAACAGGAUUAGAUACCCUGGUAGUCCGCGCCGUAAACGAUGGAUGCUCGGUGUUGGGGGUAUCGACCCCCUCGGCGCCUAAGGUAACCCGGUAAGCAUCCCGCCUGGGGAGUACGGCCGCAAGGUUGAA